AUUGAACGCUGGCGGCAUGCUUUACACAUGCAAGUCGAACGGUAACAGGUUAAGCUGACGAGUGGCGAACGGGUGAGUAAUGCAUCGGAACGUGCCCGGUCGUGGGGGAUAACGCAGCGAAAGCUGCGCUAAUACCGCAUACGAUCUGAGGAUGAAAGCGGGGGACCGUAAGGCCUCGCGCGAUCGGAGCGGCCGAUGUCAGAUUAGGUAGUUGGUGGGGUAAAGGCUCACCAAGCCGACGAUCUGUAGCUGGUCUGAGAGGACGACCAGCCACACUGGGGCUGAGACACGGCCCAGACUCCUACGGGAGGCAGCAGUGGGGAAUUUUGGACAAUGGGCGCAAGCCUGAGCCGCCAAUGCCGCGUGCAGGAAGAAGGCCUUCGGGUUGUAAACUGCUUUUGUACGGGGCGAAAAGGCUCUCUCUAAUACAGGGGGCUCAUGACGGUACCGUAAGAGUAAGCACCGGCUAACUACGUGCCAGCAGCCGCCGUAA
Molecule: ribosomal RNA, 493 nt
Filed under: uncultured bacterium
Lineage: Bacteria
Description: partial 16S ribosomal RNA
Rfam family: Bacterial small subunit ribosomal RNA
Source: RNAcentral